This 272-nucleotide ribosomal RNA is filed under the name uncultured prokaryote. RNAcentral's name for it is "partial 16S ribosomal RNA". It matches the Rfam family "Bacterial small subunit ribosomal RNA", at positions 524 to 796 of the family's 1533-position model. The record is from RNAcentral.
GACGUAGGGGGCGAGCGUUGUCCGGAUUUACUGGGCGUAAAGAGCGCGUAGGCGGCUAGUUAAGUGAGAAGUGAAAUCUCCAGGGCUCAACCCGGAAACUGCUUUUCAUACUGGCCAGCUGGAGGGACGCAGGGGUGACUGGAAUUCCCGGUGUAGCGGUGAAAUGCAUUGAUAUCGGGAGGAACUCCAACAGCGAAGGCAGGUCACUGGGCGUUUCCUGACGCUGAGGCGCGAAAGCGUGGGUAGCAAACAGGAUUAGAAACCCGUAGUCC